Long non-coding RNA from Uranotaenia lowii, 492 nucleotides. RefSeq lists it as uncharacterized. The transcript has 3 exons. The record is from RefSeq and is a predicted model, not a curated record. Lineage: Eukaryota; Metazoa; Arthropoda; Insecta; Diptera; Culicidae.
UUUGUUAUACACAUCGAAACGUUGGAGAAGGAUUGCGAGACUCUUGAGAAUUUGUUUUUCUGUGUUGGUCAGUAUUAUGGAAAUGGAGAAAGAUUUUAAAUCAUCCGGAUAUUAAGAAAAAAAAUCCGUUACUGUUUGGAAACAUAUACCGGCUAUGUCUUCUUAGGGAUACGAAACCUCGAGCUGGUCAAAAUAUCAAGUUAACGACUCCUGGAAGAUAACAUUUUGGCUGUAAAAUACUACCCUAAGGAAGCAUUCUCCGUGAUAAAUAAUUCUUGUGAAUCGAGUGAAAUGAAUCUAUUGGAUUACGAAGAAUCCAUCGUAAUGGGCACCGCUGAAUUCGUUUAACAUGAGAUCAUUUCUUCUAAAAGGACUAGUGACUCUACGCAAGAGUUAGGUAUAAAUUCGGUAUCCGGAUAUCCCACAAAGGAAAGACCUCGCUCAAAAUAAGGGCACUAUAAACCUGAGGAUUCAGGUGUAAAUCAUUUAAAA